GUCCUGGUGCAUCUCAUCCACAGCCAACAGGGACACCUGGUCACCAGGGACAGAAGAAGUCCCACAGAAAGAUCAUCCCAGGCAGGACCUUGUAUGUGCCUGAUGACUUGGAGGAAUCUCUCCCUCUCUCUGGACCUCAGUUUCCCUGCCUGUGAAAUGGGGAGAUGGGUGCCUGCCUGCAGCCUCAAAGAUUGAGGCUGGAGUGCAGUGGCACGAUCUCAACUCACCACAACCUCCGCCUCCCGGGUUCAAGCGAUUCUCCUGCCUCAGCCUCCCGAGUAGCUGGGAUUACAGGUGUGCGCCACCACGCCUGGCUGCUUUCUACCCGUGAGACCUUCCUUUCCUGACACUGCAUCCUCGUCUCAGGCAGCUGCUGGCCAUGACCCCUCUGGCCAUGCCUCCAGCCCAGCAGGGCCCUGGAGAGGCCCACCUUCAGCCAGCCAACAUAGAAGAAGAACUGCAGGAACGUGAAGACGGGCACAACGAGGUCCAGCUCAUGGCCAGGGUAGGCCUUGGCUGGGUUCAGAAACUGCCGCCCAACUAGACAAGUCAGGAAGAAGCUGUACACCGCCACAGUCACCACCUGGGAGGAGGAGGAGGAUGUGGUAGCAAAGGGCUAGGUGGGAACCCUGAAAUCAGGAUGCUCCAGGGGCUGGGAGUCUGAGACAGGAGACCAAGGCCUUGUUCUGACUUGCACACUUAUGUGACUUAGGGGCUCUGUUAACCCCUUUGUUUGUUUGUUUGUUUGUUUGUUUGAGACAGAGUCUUGCUGUGUCGCCCAGGCUGGAGUGCAGUGGCAUGAUCUCAGCUCACUGCAACCUCCACCUCCCGGGUUCAAGCGAUUCUCCUGCCUCAGCCUCCCAAGUAGCUGGGAUUACAGGCGUGCACCACCACACAGCUAAUUCUGUAUUUUCAGUAGAGAUGGGGUUUCACCAUGUUGGCCAGGCUGGUCUCGAACUCCUGACCUCAGGUGAUCCACCUGCCUCAGCUUCCCAAAGUGCUGGGAUUACAGGCAUGAGCCACUGCACCCGGCCAACCUCUCUUUAAUAUGGGGAUAAUCACAUUGCCUCUACUGGACUGGGCCAGGCAGGAGCCUGGACUCUUAGAACUUGGCACUUCAAAGUCCAGACCCAACUUCAAAGUGUGGACCCAACUCCCAGGGGAGCCACUUAGCCUCUAGGUGAGCCCUUCCCACCCCAGCUGCUUCCUUGGUCCUUCUAGCCUCAGUUUCCCAAAAGGGCAGCCUCACCAGCCUAGUCCUCACCUGUGUAUACACCAGUGGGAUACUAAUCCAGUCGUAGGCAUACAGGUGUCCACACUGAGUACGCAAGGUGUUCAUCUCCUGGGGGGCAGAAGAGGGGGAUGGGGUUCUGAACACCACCUGCCCCCACCCUGGGCUCGCCCCCACCUCUUCUCCAGGUACCAGGGCCUGGUACCUAUGGUCCAUUCCUGGCUGUGUGGCCAUGGGAAGCUCACUAAACCUCUUUGUGUCUCA
Molecule: long non-coding RNA, 1495 nt
Filed under: Homo sapiens (human)
Lineage: Eukaryota; Metazoa; Chordata; Mammalia; Primates; Hominidae
Description: HSALNT0363018
Source: RNAcentral